CAGCAGCCGCGGGAAAACGUAGGUGGCAAGCGUUGUCCGGAAUUAUUGGGCGUAAAGGGCUCGCAGGCGGUUUCUUAAGUCUGAUGUGAAAGCCCCAGGCUCAACCGGGGAGGGUCAUUGGAAACUGGGAAACUUGAGUGCAGAAGAGGAGAGUGGAAUUCCACGUGUAGCGGUGAAAUGCGUAGAGAUGUGGAGGAACACCAGUAGCGAAGGCGACUCUCUGGUCUGUAACUGACGCUGAGGAGCGAAAGCGUGGGGAGCGAACAGGAUUAGAUACCCCGGUAGUCCCUGUCUCUUAUAC
This 301-nucleotide ribosomal RNA is filed under the name uncultured bacterium. Its description in RNAcentral is "partial 16S ribosomal RNA". It matches the Rfam family "Bacterial small subunit ribosomal RNA", at positions 509 to 807 of the family's 1533-position model. The record is from RNAcentral.